AUGGCAAGAAUGAUGCUUGAUGAGUACAAGACUCCAAAACACUUUUGGGCAGAAGCGGUUGAGAUAGCUUGUCAUGCAACAAAUCGCUUGUAUCUUCACAAGCUACUCGGCAAGACGGCAUACGAGCUCCUCAUCGGUAACAAACCCCAAGUUGGAUACUUUCGAGUAUUUGGCUCAAAGUGUUACAUUCUUGAUAAGCAUCGUCGUUCUAAAUUUGCUCCUAAAUCUCAUGAGGGUUUCCUACUUGGUUAUGGCUCAAACUCUCACACUUACCGUGUCUACAACAAUUUCACCCGAAAGGUUGAAGAGACGGUAGAUGUGAAGUUUGAUGAAUCUAAUGGCUCGCAAGUAGAGCAAUUGCCAAUUGAUGUAGGAGACAAAGACCCUUCAGAAGCAAUCCAAGACAUGUCUAUUGGCAAGAUUCGUCCAACGGAGGUGAAGGAGAGUACCUCGUCCGUCCAAGUGGAAGCUUCUACCUCACGACAAGGUGAACCAAGAGUUGACACGGAAGCAUCCACAAGUGGGACACAUCAAGAUGAACAAAAUGAGGAAGUACACCAAGAUGAACCUCAUCAACCUCCUUCUCCACCACGACAAGAGAAUGACAACAUCAACAAUGAAGAAGGCCAAGAAGAAGAACGAGAUGAUGAAGAAGAUGUUCCACCCCGACCCAAGCAAAAGCUCUCACGAGUUCGAGCAAGAGUCUCAAGAGACCACCCCGUCGAACAAAUCUUCAAUGAUAUCCAAACCGAGAGAAUCACUCGCUCUAAAACUCGUUUGGCUAAUUUUUUUGUACAUUAUUCAUUCAUCUCUAGCAUUGAACCUAUGAAGUUUGAAGAAGCAUUGGAAGAUCCGGGUUGGAUAAAUGCUAUGCAUGAAGAGCUACACAACUUUGAGAGAAAUCAAGUGUGGACAUUGGUCGAGAAGCCCGACAACAACCACAACAUCAUUGGUACCAAAUGGGUGUUUCGCAACAAGCAAGACGAAGAUGGUCAAGUCGUUCACAACAAAGCAUGUCUCGUCGCCCAAGGCUACACUCAAGUCGAAGGUAUGGACUACGGUGAGACAUAUGCCCCCGUUGCUAGACUUGAGUCCAUCCGCAUCUUACUUGCCUAUGCUAAUCACCAUGAUAUCACCUUGUACCAAAUGGACAUUAAAAGUGCUUUUCUAAAUGGUGAAAUUGAGGAGGAAGUUUAUGUUAAACAACCUCCCGGCUUUGUCAAUCCUAAGAAACCCGAUCAUGUUUACAAACUUCACAAAGCUCUUUAUGGUCUUAAACAAGCUCCUAGAGCAUGGUAUAAAUGCUUGACCAAGUUCCUUAUUGGGAAAGGCUUUGAGAUUGGGAAAAUUGAUUCUACUCUUUUUACAAAAAGAGUUAAUGGUGAAUUAUUUGUGUGCCAAAUUUAUGUUGAUGAUAUCAUAUUUGGUUCGACUAACCCUCAUUUUAGUGAAAAGUUUGGAAAGCUAAUGUCUAAGAAGUUUGAGAUGUCUAUGAUGAGUGAACUCAAGUUCUUUCUUGGCUUGCAAAUCAAGCAAACUAAGGAAGGCACCUUUGUUUCCCAAACAAAGUAA
RNAcentral lists this ribosomal RNA (1572 nucleotides) under Triticum aestivum (bread wheat). Its description in RNAcentral is "partial small subunit ribosomal RNA". Lineage: Eukaryota; Viridiplantae; Streptophyta; Magnoliopsida; Poales; Poaceae. The record is from RNAcentral.